UCAUGAUGUGCUGCUUCAUGAAGUCAUAGCAGGUUAGUUAGCUCCUUUGCAGUAAGUGUAGUUUGUUAAGCUGCCAUCCGAGUUUAACGCAGAAGCUUCCUGAUAUGCUGUGACUCUUACAAGCUACUAAAAAGGAAAAAAGGAAAUAAAAAAAGAAUCAAAUAUGCUUUAUUUAUUGUUUUCUCACUGUCACAUAUUACUUCCCACACAGCAAAGAGAGCUUCAUUUUUUUCCCAGCACCUUUCUAUAAGUGGUAGACCACUAAUAUUGACGGUUAAGUUGAAAUGUAAAAAGUAACCAGAGUACUGUCUCUUAGUUUCAGGAAAACAUUAGUAGAUUUUUAAAAAAUUGAACUUGGAAUUCUUUAACCUCAAGGUCUAAGCCACAGAACAGUGUUCCUUAAAAAAAAAAAAAGGCUUUAUGAUAAAACUUUUAUCACUUUGAACUUACUCAUUUAAAAAUAUCUUAGCUGAAGGCUGUGGAUGGCAGAGCAAUAGAGUUACACAGACUGAAAAAUAAUAACCUGCUUUUCAAUCAUGGUAUCAGAACGGUGCUGGUGGUCUGAAUGACCUGUUUGUAACCUGAUGAUGACACAAAGACAUGAAACUACCUUUGGAAGUACAAAAGCACCUUAUAAGAUCCUCUAUGAGCUCUCACAGCCAGGGGCUGGUUUUCUUAACUAUUGCUUAUCAGCCCAACGUGUCUCUGCAGUAUAUCGCAGACUAAACUUCCCAAAAGCAAUCACUGAUGUUAAAGCUUCCUACUGCAGUACUUCAAAAGAGACCCUUCUCCUUCCUUUCCCAGAGGCUGACUGCUCUGAACCUCCUGAGGGAAACUCCUGGAGGAUAGACACAGCCCAGAAGAAAUGCUGGAAAACAGCAAUAAUAAUUCCUAUCUUCAAGAGAAGGAAAGGAAGAAUCCAGGGAGUUUGGGGCCGGUCAGCUUAACUUCAGUUGCCUGGCAAACACUUGCAUGAAAUAACUAUUUUGCAUCCUCAGAGCUAACCAGCUGGCACCAAUAAAAGCCCCAGAAACAACAGAAUUAAUCACAGAGACAACAUAGCAAUAAAUAUAAAUGUGCUUCACCUCACUGCACUACAAAGUGUCCGCCUCUGGUGACAAGUAAGGAUACUUGUGAAUGAAGAUUUCCCCUUAGUUCUCGACCUUUUCUUUAACU
Harpia harpyja (harpy eagle) is the source of this 1176-nucleotide long non-coding RNA. RefSeq lists it as uncharacterized. NCBI's taxonomy places the organism in Eukaryota, Metazoa, Chordata, Aves, Accipitriformes, Accipitridae. The record is from RefSeq and is a predicted model, not a curated record. The transcript is spliced from 3 exons.